UGGGGAAUAUUGGACAAUGGGCGAAAGCCUGAUCCAGCCAUGCCGCGUGUGUGAAGAAGGUCUUCGGAUUGUAAAGCACUUUAAGUUGGGAGGAAGGGCAGUAACCUAAUACGUUGCUGUCUUGACGUUACCGACAGAAUAAGCACCGGCUAACUCUGUGCCAGCAGCCGCGGUAAUACAGAGGGUGCAAGCGUUAAUCGGAAUUACUGGGCGUAAAGCGCGCGUAGGUGGUUUGUUAAGUUGGAUGUGAAAGCCCCGGGCUCAACCUGGGAACUGCAUCCAAAACUGGCAAGCUAGAGUACGGUAGAGGGUGGUGGAAUUUCCUGUGUAGCGGUGAAAUGCGUAGAUAUAGGAAGGAACACCAGUGGCGAAGGCGACCACCUGGACUGAUACUGACACUGAGGUGCGAAAGCGUGGGGAGCAAACAGGAUUAGAUACCCCCGUAGUCCCUGAGCGGGCUGGCAAGGCGCAU
RNAcentral lists this ribosomal RNA (472 nucleotides) under uncultured bacterium. RNAcentral's name for it is "bacterial SSU rRNA". It matches the Rfam family "Bacterial small subunit ribosomal RNA", at positions 355 to 825 of the family's 1533-position model. The record is from RNAcentral.